RNAcentral lists this ribosomal RNA (253 nucleotides) under uncultured bacterium. Its description in RNAcentral is "partial 16S ribosomal RNA". It matches the Rfam family "Bacterial small subunit ribosomal RNA", at positions 524 to 776 of the family's 1533-position model. The record is from RNAcentral.
UACGUAGGGACCAAGCGUUGUCCGGAAUCAUUGGGCGUAAAGAGCGUGUAGGCGGCUUGUUAAGUCUUGCGUGAAAUCUCGGGGCUCAACCCCGAGCGGUCGUGAGAAACUGGCAGGCUAGAGUGCGGGAGAGGAGAACGGAAUUCCUGGUGUAGCGGUGAAAUGCGCAGAUAUCAGGAGGAACACCGGUGGCGAAGGCGGGUCUCUGGGCAAUAACUGACGCUGAGGAGCGAAAGCGUGGGGAGCGAACAGG